This 1042-nucleotide ribosomal RNA is filed under the name uncultured bacterium. RNAcentral describes it as "bacterial SSU rRNA". It matches the Rfam family "Bacterial small subunit ribosomal RNA", at positions 38 to 1086 of the family's 1533-position model. The record is from RNAcentral.
GNCGNGGGGAGCCUAACAUGAAAGCCGAGCGGUAUUGUUUCUUCGGAAAUGAGAGAGCGGCGUACGGGUGCGGAACACGUGUGCAACCUGCCUUUAUCUGGGGGAUAGCCUUUCGAAAGGAAGAUUAAUACUCCAUAAUAUAUUGAUUGGCAUCAAUUAAUAUUGAAAGCUCCGGCGGAUAGAGAUGGGCACGCGCAAGAUUAGCUAGUUGGUGAGGUAACGGCUCACCAAGGCGAUGAUCUUUAGGGGGCCUGAGAGGGUGAUCCCCCACACUGGUACUGAGACACGGACCAGACUCCUACGGGAGGCAGCAGUGAGGAAUAUUGGUCAAUGGGUGCAAGCCUGAACCAGCCAUCCCGCGUGAAGGACGACUGCCCUAUGGGUUGUAAACUUCUUUUGUAUAGGGAUAAACCUACCCUCGUGAGGGUAGCUGAAGGUACUAUACGAAUAAGCACCGGCUAACUCCGUGCCAGCAGCCGCGGUAAUACGGAGGGUGCAAGCGUUAUCCGGAUUUAUUGGGUUUAAAGGGUCCGUAGGCGGACUUAUAAGUCAGUGGUGAAAGCCUGUCGCUUAACGAUAGAACUGCCAUUGAUACUGUAAGUCUUGAGUAUAUUUGAGGUAGCUGGAAUAAGUAGUGUAGCGGUGAAAUGCAUAGAUAUUACUUAGAACACCAAUUGCGAAGGCAGGUUACCAAGAUAUAACUGACGCUGAGGGACGAAAGCGUGGGGAGCGAACACGAUUAAAUACCCUGGUAGUCCACGCCGUAAACGAUGCUAACUCGUUUUUGGGCUUUAGGGUUCAGAGACCAAGCGAAAGUGAUAAGUUAGCCACCUGGGGAGUACGCUCGCAGAGUGAAACUCAAGGAUUGACGGGGGCCCGCACAAGCGGUGGAUAUGUGGUUUAUUCGAUGAUACGCGAGGACCUUACCAAGGACUUAGAUGGGGAAUUGACUGGUUUAGAAUAGAUCUUUCCUCGGAACAAUUUUUCCAGGUGCUGCAAGGGUUGUCCGUCANCUCCGUGCCGAGAGGUGUAGGUUUACGUU